UUAAGUUCAGCGGGUAUUCCUACCUGAUCCGAGGUCAACCUGAAAAAAUAUGGGGUUGUUGGUCGCCAACCGUCAGUACCCAGAACGAGAUGUUAUACUACGUUCGGGACCUAGCGGUGCCGCCACUGAGUUUAGGGACCGCCACUUCUGGCGUAUCCCAAUACCAAGCAGAGCUUGAGUGGUGUUAAUGACGCUCGAAC
This 200-nucleotide unclassified non-coding RNA is filed under the name Unguiculariopsis sp. Its description in RNAcentral is "partial internal transcribed spacer 2". The record is from RNAcentral. Lineage: Eukaryota; Fungi; Ascomycota; Leotiomycetes; Helotiales; Cordieritidaceae.